RNAcentral lists this non-coding RNA (421 nucleotides) under Mesobacillus campisalis. RNAcentral describes it as "Bacillus campisalis Bacterial small subunit ribosomal RNA". It matches the Rfam family "Bacterial small subunit ribosomal RNA", at positions 200 to 608 of the family's 1533-position model. The record is from Rfam by way of RNAcentral. Lineage: Bacteria; Bacillati; Bacillota; Bacilli; Caryophanales; Bacillaceae.
CUGAAAGACGGCUCCGGCUGUCACUUACAGAUGGGCCCGCGGCGCAUUAGCUAGUUGGUGAGGUAACGGCUCACCAAGGCCACGAUGCGUAGCCGACCUGAGAGGGUGAUCGGCCACACUGGGACUGAGACACGGCCCAGACUCCUACGGGAGGCAGCAGUAGGGAAUCUUCCGCAAUGGACGAAAGUCUGACGGAGCAACGCCGCGUGAGCGAAGAAGGCCUUCGGGUCGUAAAGCUCUGUUGUCAGGGAAGAACAAGUACCGGAGUAACUGCCAGUACCUUGACGGUACCUGACCAGAAAGCCACGGCUAACUACGUGCCAGCAGCCGCGGUAAUACGUAGGUGGCAAGCGUUGUCCGGAAUUAUUGGGCGUAAAGCGCGCGCAGGCGGUCCUUUAAGUCUGAUGUGAAAGCCCACGGC